GGGUGCGAUCAUACCAGCGUUAAUGCACCGCAUCCCAUCAGAACUCCGCAGUCAAGCGCGCUUGGGCCAUGGUAGUACUGGGAUGGGUGACCUCCCAGGAAGUCCCGGUGUUGCACCCU
Picea glauca (white spruce) is the source of this 119-nucleotide non-coding RNA. NCBI's taxonomy places the organism in Eukaryota, Viridiplantae, Streptophyta, Pinopsida, Pinales, Pinaceae. The record is from Rfam.